This is a long non-coding RNA of Scomber japonicus (chub mackerel), 100 nucleotides long. RefSeq lists it as uncharacterized. The transcript is spliced from 3 exons. NCBI's taxonomy places the organism in Eukaryota, Metazoa, Chordata, Actinopteri, Scombriformes, Scombridae. The record is from RefSeq and is a predicted model, not a curated record.
CUUUAGGAAUUCCUCCACGAAUCAUGGAAGGGAACAUCAGUUUCGACGGAGAUGGAGACUCCUGUAAGACGCUGGCAGACCUUGCAGAAGAAAUAUCAAC